RNAcentral lists this unclassified non-coding RNA (253 nucleotides) under uncultured Cryomorphaceae bacterium. Its description in RNAcentral is "contains 16S-23S intergenic spacer region". It matches the Rfam family "Bacterial small subunit ribosomal RNA", at positions 524 to 776 of the family's 1533-position model. Lineage: Bacteria; Pseudomonadati; Bacteroidota; Flavobacteriia; Flavobacteriales; Cryomorphaceae. The record is from RNAcentral.
UACGGAGGAUCCGAGCGUUAUCCGGAUUUAUUGGGUUUAAAGGGUCCGUAGGCGGACAAUCAAGUCAGUGGUGAAAGCCUACCGCUUAACGGUGGAAUUGCCAUUGAUACUGGUACUCUUGAGUGUAGUUGAGGUAGGCGGAAUAAGUCAUGUAGCGGUGAAAUGCAUAGAUAUGACUUAGAACAUCUAUUGCGAAGGCAGCUUACUAAACUAUUACUGACGCUCAGGGACGAAAGCGUGGGUAGCAAACAGG